Molecule: ribosomal RNA, 466 nt
Filed under: uncultured bacterium
Lineage: Bacteria
Description: bacterial SSU rRNA
Rfam family: Bacterial small subunit ribosomal RNA
Source: RNAcentral
AAUGAACGCUGGCGGCGUGCGUAACACAUGCAAGUCGAACGUGAAAGUCCCCUUCGGGGGAUGAGUAAAGUGGCAAACGGGUGAGUAACACGUGGGUAACCUGCCCUCUGGUGGGGGAUAACCCUGCGAAAGCGGGGCUAAUACCGCAUAACAAGUCGCUAAAUAAUUAGUCGACUUCAAAGCCUUCGGGCGCUAGAGGAGGGGCCCGCGUCCCAUUAGCUAGUUGGUAGGGUAACGGCCUACCAAGGCUGCGAUGGGUAGCCGGCCUGAGAGGGUGUCCGGCCACACUGGAACUGAGACACGGUCCAGACUCCUACGGGAGGCAGCAGUGGGGAAUUUUGCGCAAUGGGCGAAAGCCUGACGCAGCGACGCCGCGUGGGUGAUGAAGUUCUUCGGAACGUAAAGCCCUGUCAGGAGGGACGAAGCUCUGACGGUACCUCCAAAGGAAGCCCCGGCUAACUACGUG